AGAGUUUGAUCCUGGCUCAGGACGAACGCUGGCGGCAUGCCUAACACAUGCAAGUCGAACGAGAAAGUUCCUUCGGGAGCAAUUAAAGUGGCGCACGGGUGAGUAACGCGUAGACAAUCUGCCCUUCAGUCUGGGACAACUUUUCGAAAGGAGAGCUAAUACCGGAUAACAAUGCAUGACACAAGUUGUAUAUUUGAAAGCUUUAUGUGCUGAAGGAGGGGUCUGCGUCCCAUUAGCUGGUUGGUAAGGUAAAGGCUUACCAAGGCAACGAUGGGUAGCGGGUUUGAGAGGACGAUCCGCCACACUGGAACUGAGACACGGUCCAGACUCCUACGGGAGGCAGCAGUGGGGAAUAUUGCACAAUGGAGGAAACUCUGAUGCAGCAAUGUCGCGUGAGUGAAGAAGGCCCUUGGGUCGUAAAGCUCUUUUAUGGGGGAAGAUGAUGACGGUACCCCAAGAAUAAGCACCGGCUAACUAUGUGCCAGCAGCCGCGGUAAUACAUAGGGUGCGAGCGUUGUUCGGAAUUACUGGGCGUAAAGGGCGCGCAGGCGGAAUAGUAAGUCGGAGGUGAAAGCCCGGGGCUCAACCCCGGAGGGUCUUUCGAAACUACUAAUCUAGAGAGGGUCAGGGGCCGGCAGA
Molecule: ribosomal RNA, 639 nt
Filed under: uncultured bacterium
Lineage: Bacteria
Description: bacterial SSU rRNA
Rfam family: Bacterial small subunit ribosomal RNA
Source: RNAcentral